AUGUCAUUGCAUUCGUUCUCUUCUCCUUCCUAGUUAAUUUCAUUUAAUUUAAUAAACUAUAAAGCAAGAAAAUGACCACAUAUCAUCAUUUCCUUUUGCUACCCAGGAACAACGAGCGAAAGUUAUUAUGAGUUGGCCUGGAACACUCAUUUGAGCAAGAAAAAAUAAGCAACUUAAGCAGAUUAAAGGUUGAGGUUGUAAACUGUUUACAAACCUCAACCUCGAACUUUCAGCUAGAUCAAGGGUUUAAGCUGAAGCCUUCAAGAUGUGCUGCUUCAAUGGUUUAGUGUGACACUGACCACGUGAUCCACAUAAAACUACAAUUAUUUAUUUAUAGUAAACAUAAGAUAGAUUACAUGA
Molecule: long non-coding RNA, 360 nt
Organism: Medicago truncatula (barrel medic)
Lineage: Eukaryota; Viridiplantae; Streptophyta; Magnoliopsida; Fabales; Fabaceae
Exons: 2
Source: RefSeq, a predicted model, not a curated record